This 468-nucleotide ribosomal RNA is filed under the name uncultured bacterium. RNAcentral describes it as "partial 16S ribosomal RNA". It matches the Rfam family "Bacterial small subunit ribosomal RNA", at positions 28 to 507 of the family's 1533-position model. The record is from RNAcentral.
GACGAACGCUGGCGGCGUGCUUAACACAUGCAAGUCGAACGGAAAGGCCCUGCUUUUGUGGGGUGCUCGAGUGGCGAACGGGUGAGUAACACGUGUGUAACCUGCCCUUGACUUUGGGAUAACUUCAGGAAACUGGGGCUAAUACCGGAUAGGAGCUCCUGCUGCAUGGUGGGGGUUGGAACGUUUCGGCGGUUGGGGAUGGACUCGCGGCUUAUCAGCUAGUUGGUGGGGUAGUGGCUUACCAAGGCUUUGACGGGUCGCCGGCCUGAGAGGGUGACCGGCCACAUUGGGACUGAGAUACGGACCAGACUCCUACGGGAGGCAGCAGUGGGGAAUAUUGCACAAUGGGCGGAAGCCUGAUGCAGCAACGCCGCGUGCGGGAUGACGGCCUUCGGGUUGUAAACCGCUUUCGCCUGUGACGAAGCGUGAGUGACGGUAAUGGGUAAAGAAGCACCGGCUAACUACGUG